GUGCUCGCUUGGGCAGCACAUCUCCUAAAAUUGGAACGCCCCAGAGAGGAUUGGCAGGGCCUCUGCACAAGGAUGACGUGUACAUUUAUGAAACAUCCAUUUUUUUC
Otolemur garnettii (small-eared galago) is the source of this 107-nucleotide small nuclear RNA. Lineage: Eukaryota; Metazoa; Chordata; Mammalia; Primates; Galagidae. The record is from Ensembl.